ACAUUCGCAGCGGGAGAAUCUGGUUUCCCAGUGCCGAAGGAGCAACCGCCCCGGUAAACUCUCAGGCAAACGGACCUCUGCGAACGA
This 87-nucleotide non-coding RNA is filed under the name Actibacterium lipolyticum. Its description in RNAcentral is "Confluentimicrobium lipolyticum Glycine sequence". It matches the Rfam family "Glycine riboswitch aptamer". From Rfam's summary of the family: This family represents the bacterial glycine riboswitch. Glycine riboswitches usually consist of two metabolite-binding aptamers domains with similar structures in tandem. Lineage: Bacteria; Pseudomonadati; Pseudomonadota; Alphaproteobacteria; Rhodobacterales; Roseobacteraceae. The record is from Rfam by way of RNAcentral.